UGGGGAAUAUUGGACAAUGGGCGGAAGCCUGAUCCAGCAACGCCGCGUGAGGGAUGACGGCCUUCGGGUUGUAAACCUCUUUCAGUACCGACGAAGCGGAAGUGACGGUAGGUGCAGAAGAAGCACCGGCCAACUACGUGCCAGCAGCCGCGAUAAUACGUAGGGUGCGAGCGUUGUCCGGAAUUAUUGGGCGUAAAGGGCUCGUAGGCGGUUUGUCGCGUCGGGAGUGAAAACACUGGGCUUAACUCAGUGCUUGCUUCCGAUACGGGCAGACUAGAGGCAUGCAGGGGAGAACGGAAUUCCUGGUGUAGCGGUGAAAUGCGCAGAUAUCAGGAGGAACACCGGUGGCGAAGGCGGUUCUCUGGGCAUGUCCUGACGCUGAGGAGCGAAAGUGUGGGGAGCGAACAGGAUUAGAUACCCUGGUAGUCCACACCGUAAACGUUGGGCGCUAGGUGUGGGGCCUAUUCCAUGGGUUCCGUGCCGCAGCUAACGCAUUAAGCGCCCCGCCUGGGGAGUACGGCCGCAAGGCUAAAACUC
This 537-nucleotide ribosomal RNA is filed under the name uncultured bacterium. RNAcentral's name for it is "partial 16S ribosomal RNA". It matches the Rfam family "Bacterial small subunit ribosomal RNA", at positions 355 to 902 of the family's 1533-position model. The record is from RNAcentral.